Molecule: non-coding RNA, 167 nt
Organism: Eubacterium ventriosum ATCC 27560
Lineage: Bacteria; Bacillati; Bacillota; Clostridia; Eubacteriales; Eubacteriaceae
Source: Rfam
AUAUUACAGUGUCAAAAGGUCUUUUCCACCUGUGCUUGCACAAAGGUGGAAAAAUGACCUUGGGACACGCCCACAAUAUGAGCAAAAAAGUGGAGCGUAAGCUUCACGAUAUGCGAAUAUUGUGGUAGGAUUGUGGGAGUGCGAAGCACGUAACAAUCCGGUAAUAA